AACCUUAUGGACCUGCGGGCGUAUACCUGCGGAAGGAUCAUUACAAGUGACCCCGGUCUAACCACCGGGAUGUUCAUAACCCUUUGUUGUCCGACUCUGUUGCCUCCGGGGCGACCCUGCCUUCGGGCGGGGGCUCCGGGUGGACACUUCAAACCCUUGCGUAACUUUGCAGUCUGAGUAAACUUAAUUAAUAAAUUAAAACUUUUAACAACGGAUCU
RNAcentral lists this unclassified non-coding RNA (218 nucleotides) under soil metagenome. RNAcentral describes it as "partial contains 5.8S ribosomal RNA, internal transcribed spacer 2, and large subunit ribosomal RNA". The record is from RNAcentral.